GACGAACGCUGGCGGCGUGCUUAACACAUGCAAGUCGAACGGAAAGGCCCUGCUUUUGUGGGGUGCUCGAGUGGCGAACGGGUGAGUAACACGUGAGUAACCUGCCCUUGACUUUGGGAUAACUUCAGGAAACUGGGGCUAAUACCGGAUAGGAGCUCCUGCUGCAUGGUGGGGGUUGGAAAGUUUCGGCGGUUGGGGAUGGACUCGCGGCUUAUCAGCUUGUUGGUGGGGUAGUGGCUUACCAAGUCUUUGACGGGUAGCCGGCCUGAGAGGGUGGCCGGCCACAUUGGGACUGAGAUACGGCCCAGCCUCCUACGGGAGGCAACGGUGGAGAGUAUUGCACAAUGGGCGGAAGCCUGAUGCGACAACGCCGCGUUCGGGAUGACGUCCUUCGGGUAGUGAACCGCUUUCGCCUGUGACGAAGCGUUAGUGACGGUAAUGGGUAAAGAAGCACCGGCUAACUACGUG
RNAcentral lists this ribosomal RNA (468 nucleotides) under uncultured bacterium. Its description in RNAcentral is "partial 16S ribosomal RNA". It matches the Rfam family "Bacterial small subunit ribosomal RNA", at positions 28 to 507 of the family's 1533-position model. The record is from RNAcentral.